Molecule: ribosomal RNA, 254 nt
Filed under: uncultured bacterium
Lineage: Bacteria
Description: partial 16S ribosomal RNA
Rfam family: Bacterial small subunit ribosomal RNA
Source: RNAcentral
UACGUAGGUGGCAAGCGUUGUCCGGAUUUACUGGGCGUAAAGGGCGUGCAGGCGGUCUGUUAAGUGCAGGGUGAAAGCUCCCGGCUCAACUGGGAGAGGUCCUUGCAUACUGGCGGACUUGAGGGGGGUAGAGGAAAGUGGAAUUCCCGGUGUAGUGGUGAUAUGCGUAGAUAUCGGGAGGAACACCUGUGGCGAAGGCGGUUCUCUGGGCCUUACCUGACGCUGAGGAGCGGAAAGCGUGGGGAGCGAACAGG